This 426-nucleotide ribosomal RNA is filed under the name uncultured bacterium. RNAcentral's name for it is "bacterial SSU rRNA". It matches the Rfam family "Bacterial small subunit ribosomal RNA", at positions 355 to 794 of the family's 1533-position model. The record is from RNAcentral.
UAGGGAAUAUUGGGCAAUGGGGCGCAAGCCUGACCCAGCAACGCCGCGUGAGGGAAGAAGGUUUUCGGAUUGUAAACCUCUGUCCUAUGUGACGAAGGAAGUGACGGUAGCAUAGGAGGAAGCCCCGGCUAACUACGUGCCAGCAGCCGCGGUAAUACGUAGGGGGCGAGCGUUAUCCGGAUUUAUUGGGUGUAAAGGGUGCGUAGACGGUUAUGCAAGUUGGUUGUGAAAUCCCGAGGCUCAACUUCGGAACUGCAACCAAAACUGUGUAACUCGAGUGCGGGAGAGGAAAGCGGAAUUCCUAGUGUAGCGGUGAAAUGCGUAGAUAUUAGGAGGAACACCAGUGGCGAAGGCGGCUUUCUGGACCGUAACUGACGUUGAGGCACGAAAGUGUGGGGAGCAAACAGGAUUAGAUACCCUGGUAGU